GGUGCAGACGCCUGGACUACAACUCCCAGGGAUCCUGGUGCCGGCUCGCGCACGCCUCCUGCAGGCGCGGUGCGGGGAGGCGUCGGUGUGACUGCUGGACCUUUCGCCCCGCAUCUGUGAGCUCGGAGACGCUGUGGCUGCGGGCAGUUGCUGCGUCGGGAACCAGGGGGGAGCUGAGCCUGGCUGGUUUGUGAUCAGCACUGCCUCCAGCCUCAGACAGUCUGUAGUGUGCUCUAGUCACUUGGUGACAAGGACUGUGGUGGAAGUCAACCUGACCACGGACUGUUGGCCAGCACCCGGCCCAGAAUAGCGUGGCUGACUUGCUGAUUGAGGUCAGCAGCUCCCAAGAAGCACGAAAAGCAAAGGGCUUUGCAGUAAGUAUGGAGUUGCUUGUUAUUUGAGGUAGGGGUAGAAAAUCU
Molecule: long non-coding RNA, 419 nt
Filed under: Fukomys damarensis (Damara mole-rat)
Lineage: Eukaryota; Metazoa; Chordata; Mammalia; Rodentia; Bathyergidae
Description: lncRNA (ENSFDAG00000023757.1)
Source: RNAcentral